Lepidothrix coronata (blue-crowned manakin) is the source of this 4298-nucleotide RNA transcript. It is a transcript of the gene named semaphorin 4D, with no coding region annotated. Lineage: Eukaryota; Metazoa; Chordata; Aves; Passeriformes; Pipridae. The record is from RefSeq and is a predicted model, not a curated record. The transcript has 19 exons.
GCAGCACCGAGGCGAGGGCGGUGCAGCCCCCCCGGCCGGACCCCCGGCAGCAGGGCCGGGCCCGUCCCCCCCGCCGCUCGUCCGCCAUACUGCGGGGCAACCCAAACUUGUUAAACGCGGGCACCAACUCCUCCCGCUCCCGCUGCUCCUCCUCCCGCCGCCGCCGCCCUGCCCCUCCGGCGCGGGGAGGAGGGGGCUGCGCGGGCCCGGCCCCAGCCGCGGGGAAGGCGCCGAGGCGGGCGGGGGCCGUGCCAGGGCAGCGCCGCAGCCCCCCGCAGCUGUCAGGAGAGUUUAAAUCAGGUCUCCGCGGAGCUGCCCAGUUUGCAAGAGGUACGUGCAUGGAGUCUUCCUGAGCACUUCAUGGGAUGGGAAGGUUCCCUCUUUCUGAGGCAGCAGCACCUGUGACAGGAGGCUGAAAGGAUGUGUUUCUGACUGCUUCCCAGCUCCUGGCUGUGCUGGAGGCUCCAGAGGGGUGGCAGCACCGUUCAUUUCUCCCCUGAAACAGAAGAAUGCGCUCGGUCGCGCUUCUCAGCAGCUCUGCAGCCUGUGGAGAGUGUGGGCAGUUCCUGUGCGCAGCAUCCUGGAAAAUGUGCGUUCUCUUGAAGUGAUCUGCUGGAAAGCACGUACUUGCUGCAGUUGUUCCAGCCUCUCGAGGUCUGAAAUGCCUGGUCUCUGAUAACUCCCUGGGAUUUGCAUUUCGUCUGCCGAAGGAACGCUACCUGCCGCGCCCGUCCAGCGAACCCUGCAGGGCAAGGACACUGAAAAUGGCUCUGGGUGUUUUUUAUGCAGUUUGGGGUUUGUUGCUAGAAGUGGCAAUAGCAUUUGGCCCGGUCCCGAGGAUCACUUGGGAACACAGAGAGGUCCAGCUAAUACAUUUUAAUGAAUCAAAAGUGUCAAACUAUUCAACCUUGCUGUUAAGUGAAGACAAAAAUGUUCUAUAUGUAGGAGCCAGGGAAGUGAUCUUUGCCUUAAACGCAGUGAAUAUUGCUGAGAAGCAGCACGAGUUACACUGGAAGGCCGCAGAAGAUAAAAGGACAAAAUGUGCAGUCAAGGGCAAAUCAGAACAGACGGAGUGUCGUAACUACGUGCGUGUCUUGCAGCAGCUCAAUGAUACUUUUCUCUAUGUGUGUGGAACUAAUGCAUUUCAGCCAACGUGUGAUUACGUGAAUUUAACUUCAUUUGAACUUGGAGGUAAAAAUGAGGAUGGUAAGGGUAGGUGUCCAUUUGAUCCUGCUCAAAGCUACACAUCUGUUAUGGUUGAUGAGGAGCUUUAUUCUGGGACUUCUUACAAUUUCUUGGGAAGUGAACCCAUUAUUUCACGGCACUCUCAUCAGAGCCCUCUGAGAACAGAAUAUGCAAUACCUUGGCUUAAUGAGCCCAAUUUUGUUUUUGCUGAUGUGAUAAGAGCAGACCAAAACAGCACAGAUGGAGAAGAUGACAAGAUAUACUUCUUUUUCACCGAGGUGUCUGUGGAGUAUGAAUGUAUUGGAAAACUGAUGAUUCCAAGAAUAGCUAGGGUCUGCAAGAGGGACCAAGGAGGAUUAAGGAUCUUGCAAAAAAAAUGGACGUCCUUUCUCAAGGCCAGACUGAUUUGUACCAUCCCUGAUAAGAACUUAAUUUUCAAUGUUAUCAAUGAUGUUUUUAUUCUCAAGUCUCCGACUUUGAAGGAACCAGUGAUAUAUGGAGUCUUCACCCCACAGCUGAAUAACGUGGGGUUGUCAGCAGUGUGUGCAUACAGUCUGUCUACUGUAGAAGAGGUUUUCUCAAAAGGAAAAUACAUGCAGAGUGCUAUAGUGGAACAGGCUCAUACAAAGUGGGUACGAUACAAUGGGGAGAUCCCUAAUCCUCGACCUGGUGCGUGUAUAAACAACGAAGCCGGAGGAUCGAGCUACAUGAGCUCGCUGAAUUUACCAGACAAGACACUGCAGUUUGUUAGAGACCAUCCUCUGAUGGAUGACUCAGUGACCCCGAUGGGAGACAGACCUCGACUGGUAAAGCAAGAUGUGAAGUACACACAGAUUGUGGUAGACAGAGUCAGAGCACUCAAUGGCACCAUGUACGAUGUGAUGUUCAUCGGUACAGAUCGGGGAGCCGUGCACAAAGCUAUCAGCUAUGAAAAUGGAAUGCAUAUUAUUGAAGAAACACAGUUUUUUCCAGAUUUUGAACCAGUCCAAACUCUCUUGCUUUCAUCCAAAACAGGCAGAAAAUACCUCUUUGCUGGCUCAAAUUCUGGUGUGGUUCAGUCCCCAGUGGCGUUCUGUGACAAGUACACCACUUGUGUUGACUGUGUUCUAGCAAGGGAUCCUUACUGUGCUUGGAAACCCCUCGAAGCUUCCUGCGUUGAUAUUUUUAAAGAAGCUGAAAUUGGAAGGAACUGGAUUCAGAACAUAGGUGGAGAUGCAUCUUCUUGUUCUGAUAAAGUAAGAGAGAAUCCCCUACAGCAUACAUUCAAGCAUGGGAGCACAGCAGAACUCAAGUGUUCUCAAAAGUCCAAUCUGGCACAGGUAGUUUGGAAGUUCAAAGAUGAUGUGCUGAGAGUGGAGAGUCCCAAGUACCGUCUGCUGGAAAAGGCACUGCUCAUCUUCAAUUUAUCAGAAGGAGACAGUGGUGUUUACCAGUGUUUGUCAGAAGAAAAAGUGAAGAAUAAGAAAUUUUCUCAAGUGCUGGCUAAGCAUGUUUUGGAACUGAAAAAAAUACAGCACACCAUGGUGGGCCCCACCGCAGCAGCUGCGCCAACAGAAGGUAAUAGUGAUGUGCCAAAAGCGUCAGCUGUGUCAACCGAGGGUUCCACUGCUCACAGCUCCACCACUCACAUGGUACCAGUAACGACAGCAAGGAUAGUGACAAAGCCCAUUGGCCCUGUCCUAACAAGUGUAGCCUCCAACACAGAGCUCUUCAAUUCAAUUCCCGAUGCGGUCCCAGAAAAGACGAUGUUCCUCAAGUCAAACGACAACUUCUUGUUGAUGUUCCUCUUCCUCUUCUUUUUCAUUCUGUUUUUGUGCCUGCUCUCCUACAACUGCUACAAGGGGUACCUGCCGGGGCAGUGCCUGAAGUUCCGCUCUGUCAUGCUGCUCGGCAAGAAGAAAACGAAGUCGGAUUUUUCCGACUGCGAGCAGAGCGUGAAGGAGACGCUGGUGGAGCAGGGCAGUGUGAGCCACCAGAGCGGGGAGCAGCCGAAGCCCGCGCACGACACCGGCUACGAGACUGAGCCCGACUGCGGGAACAGCCAGCUGCAGGCCGGGGACUCGCAGGCGUCCCGGGAGGCCAAGGACAAGCCCUUCGAUGUCAAGUGCGAGCUCAAGUUCGCGGACUCGGACGUGGAAGGGGACUGAGGGCCGCAGGCAUCCCUUCCCUUUCCGAGGUGGAUGCGAGCUGUGGUCCCACCGUGGCUGUCGGAGCACGGGCGGGGUGUGACGGGCUAAGCCAUAGCGGGGUUUUCGUGCUUCAGCUGUACAGCAAGCCAGUUUCCAUUCAGAUCUCAGCAGAUUAGAGAAGCGGUGUUCUUGUCUGGAGACCGUGGCAUCUUGUGUUGUACUGUCCUUUCUUUUUAAAAGUUUUUUUAAAUGGCCAGUUUCAGAUCACCACUUGUUUAUUCCCAAUUUUUUCCCCCCACUGAGCGCUUUGCUCUAGUGAAGCUACUUGCUUGUUCUUUGGCCAUGUUCUUCCAUAGAGUAAAAGUAACUUUUUAAUUCAGUUGGCUUUAAAAAGUACUUCAGUCUACACACGUUUUUAGUUGCCAUUAAAAAAAGACCUAGUUUCAUUUUAAUUCCAAAUUGGAAAUUGAGUUUAGUUUAUCAGAUUGGUAAAUUAUAGACUUUUGUCCAGAUUGGGACAUUUUUUUCUUUGCUUCUAGUGAUUAUUUUUAGUUUUAUGCUUUGUGUUUUGGCACACUAGAUCUCUUUAGUUGGUUAAAGUUAAUUUUUUUAACUACUUUUUAAGUAUCUUAGAUUUUAAGGUACAAUGGGGAUAGCAUUGCCUUGAUUUGUGUAAGACUCAGGGAUAAUCUUGUUUAAAGGUUUUUUUCUUUGCUGCUUUUUAGAAAUGUAGGUACAACAAUAUCAGUACAAAACAUGGAGUAAGUGGGGAAUGGGGAAGGAGGAAAUAAAUGCUUUUCUUUUUUUUUUUUUGUUUUUCCUCCCCCCACCAGCUAGAAAGCUGGACAUAGUGAUGUUUUAUUUUCUAUACAAAACUGGAUUUUUUUUUUCCUUUAGUUAAUGAUACAGUACAGGCAAGCAACUGUCAGUUAGCAGUGACAAGGAAAGAGGUUUCUUGCAUUGUAGGAGCAAAACAGGAAUCAA